CCGGCGACCGGCGGACGGGUGCGUAACGCGUAUGUAACCUACCUUUGACAGGGGGAUAACAUCGAGAAAUUGGUACUAAUACCCCAUAACAUCACCGGAGGCAUCUUCGGUGGUUGAAAACUCAGGUGGUCAGAGAUGGACAUGCGUUGUAUUAGCUAGUUGGUGAGGUAACGGCUCACCAAGGCGACGAUACAGUAGGGGGACUGAGAGGUCAACCCCCACAUUGGUACUGAGACACGGACCAAACUCCUACGGAAGGCAGCAG
RNAcentral lists this ribosomal RNA (265 nucleotides) under uncultured bacterium. RNAcentral describes it as "partial 16S ribosomal RNA". It matches the Rfam family "Bacterial small subunit ribosomal RNA", at positions 88 to 354 of the family's 1533-position model. The record is from RNAcentral.